Molecule: ribosomal RNA, 247 nt
Filed under: Klebsiella oxytoca
Lineage: Bacteria; Pseudomonadati; Pseudomonadota; Gammaproteobacteria; Enterobacterales; Enterobacteriaceae
Also listed under: 3 other names
Description: partial 16S ribosomal RNA
Rfam family: Bacterial small subunit ribosomal RNA
Source: RNAcentral
AAAUUGAAGAGUUUGAUCAUGGCUCAGAUUGAACGCUGGCGGCAGGCCUAACACAUGCAAGUCGAACGGUAGCACAGAGAGCUUGCUCUCGGGUGACGAGUGGCGGACGGGUGAGUAAUGUCUGGGAAACUGCCCGAUGGAGGGGGAUAACUACUGGAAACGGUAGCUAAUACCGCAUAAUGUCGCAAGACCAAAGAGGGGGACCUUCGGGCCUCUUGCCAUCGGAUGUGCCCAGAUGGGAUUAGCU